UGCUGUGGACAGCCUGGGCAGCGAGGACCCCUGCAGAGGCCCCUGGGGCCAAAGGGGCAGUGCCCAGUCUGGCAGAAAUAAGAGGGAGACCCAAAGAAAUGGCGGCCUUAGAGACAACAGCUUAGGAACCGACUCUGAAGAAGAGAAACCACAGAGGGCUGGCCCGGGUCGGAGUCUGAACUCAACGACGUUUGCAAAUCCCACACAGACGCUCAGCCUACCUCCAAGGGGAUGACGAAGCCAGAUGCGUGGCCAGCAUUUUUCCAGUAGUUGAGGGAGAGUGGGGUAGAGAGGCUGUAAGAGCCAGAGACGGUAGAGGAAUCCGAAGGAAACUGAAGUUUCCAGACUCGACAAGGAGACGCACCUAUGACUGUGACAACACGCAUAACACCUGCACAAGCUCAAGCCAGAUCAAAACCCCAUCGUGCAGAGGGUAAAGUGGGCACACAUCCCCACUCCUCACCAAGAGGUGACUGGCAACUGGUACUGGAGGGAGAGGGGAAAUCGGUUUUCAUCAUUGGAGUGACAUCGGGUGGGUCAACCACACUCAAGAGCUCAGAAAGAGUUGGCCAACACAAAUCUAACUCCAAGGUCUUGUUCGUUUUGAAACAGGAUGACUCUGUGUAGCUGUAGCGCUGGCUUGCCUGGAACUCUGUAGACCAGGCUGGCCUGGAACUCACAGAGCCGCUGCCUGCCUCCUGAGUGCUGGGAUUAAAAGCGUGCACCGCCACCUCCGCUUCCACCACUACCUCAGCUUGCUCUGUUGUGUGUGUCUAUGUGUGUGUGUGUGUGUGUGUGUGUGUGUGUGUGUGUGAGAGAGAGAGAGAGAGAGAGAGAGAGAGAGAGAGAGAGAGAGAACACUGUAGCUGUCUUCAGACACACCAGAAGAGGGGGCAUCAGAUCCCAUUAACGACGGUUGUGAGCCACCAUGUGGUUACUGGGAAUUGAACUCAGGACCUCUGGAAGAGCAGUCAGUGCUCUUAACUGCUGAGCCAUCGCUCCAGCCCUCAAAAUCUCAGGCUUUGGACCGUAUGGGGAUAGAACCCACGACCUUGGAGUUAUUAACACCACGCUCUAACCAGCUGAGCUAACUGGCCAACUGCUUGUUCUAUUUUCAUUUUUGUUCUUAAAUUUUUAUAUUAUUUUAUUUAUUAUAUAUAAAUAUACUGUAGCUGUCUUCAGACACACCAGAAGAGGGCAUCAGAGCCCAUUGCAGAUGGUUGUGAGCCACCAUGUGGUUGCCAGGAUUUGAACUCAGGACUUCUAGGUAGAACAGUCAGUGUUCUUUACCACUGAGCCAUCUCUCCAGCCUGCUAGUUCUGUUUUUUGUUUGUUUGUUUGUUUGUUUGUUUCUUUUUUUUGGAGCUGGGGACCAAACCCAGGGCCUUGCGGUUGCUAGGCAAGAGCUCUACCACUGAGCUUAAUCCCCAACCCACUAGUUCUGGUUUUUUUUUUUUUUUUUUUUUGGUUCUUUUUUUUCCGGAGCUGGGAACCGAACCCAGGGCCUUGCGCUUCUUAGGUAAGCGCUCUACCACUGAGCUAAAUCCCCAGCCCACUAGUUCUGUUUUUUAAGAGAGAGAAAGAAUGUGAAUUUUGGUGGGUAGGGAGGAAGAGAGGAAAGGUUCUGGGAGGAAUGAGGGAGGGGAAAGAAUAUAAUCAAAAUAUAUUGUGUAAAAUUCUCAAAGAAUACAUUUAAAAAAAUAGCCGGGGUUGUGGUAUAAAUGCUUACCCAUCAUGUGGGAUGCCUUAAUUACUAAGAAGCACACAAGCAAAAUUGAAAAUAUUGAAUAAAUGAACCAUAUUUUAAAGGAAAAACAGAAAA
Rattus norvegicus (Norway rat) is the source of this 1822-nucleotide non-coding RNA. The record is from RefSeq and is a predicted model, not a curated record. Lineage: Eukaryota; Metazoa; Chordata; Mammalia; Rodentia; Muridae.